Oncorhynchus keta (chum salmon) is the source of this 727-nucleotide long non-coding RNA. RefSeq lists it as uncharacterized. Lineage: Eukaryota; Metazoa; Chordata; Actinopteri; Salmoniformes; Salmonidae. The record is from RefSeq and is a predicted model, not a curated record. The transcript is spliced from 5 exons.
UUUAUAGCAGUUAUACUACUGUAAUACUAACAUGAUAUACUAGUAUAGUAGGAGAGGGGUGGUAAUACUUUAUAGCAGUUAUACUACUGUAAUACUAACAUGAUAUACUAGUAUAGUAGGAGAGGGGUGGUAAUACUUUAUAGCAGUUAUACUACUAUAAUACUAACAUGAUAUACUAGUAUAGUAGGAGAGGGGUGGUAAUACUUUAUAGCAGUUAUACUACUGUAAUACUAACAUGAUAUACUAGUAUAGUAGGAGAGGGGUGGUAAUACUUUAUAGCAGUUAUACUACUGUAAUACUAACAUGAUAUACUAGUAUAGUAGGAGAGGGGUGGUAAUACUUUAUAGCAGUUAUUCUACUGUAAUACUAACAUGAUAUACUAGUAAAGUAGGAGAGGGGUGGUAAUACUUUAUAGCAGUUAUUCUACUGUAAUACUAACAUGAUAUACUAGUAUAGUAGGAGAGGGGUGGUAAUACUUUAUAGCAGUUAUACUACUGUAAUACUAACAUGAUAUACUAGUAUAGUAGGAGAGGGGUGGUAAUACUUUAUAGCAGUUAUCUACUGUAAUACUAACAUGAUAUACUAGUAUAGUAGGAGAGGGGUGGUAAUACUUUAUAGCAGUUAUUCUACUGUAAUACUAACAUGAUAUACUAGUAUAGUAGGAGAGGGGUGGUAAUCAUCAUAAAGAUACUAGUUAAUAUAUGUAUAUUCUGCAGUUAUAGUGCGA